GGUGCUAUAGUGUAGUGGUUAUCACUCGGGAUUUUGAAAGGAAGUUCCCGAAACCCAGGUUCGAACCCUGGUAGCACCU
Pilatotrama ljubarskyi is the source of this 79-nucleotide non-coding RNA. Lineage: Eukaryota; Fungi; Basidiomycota; Agaricomycetes; Polyporales; Polyporaceae. The record is from the annotation of a GenBank genome assembly.